GUGCUGGCUUCGGCAGCACAUAUGCUAAAAUCGGAAUGACACAGAGAAGGCUAUCGUGCCCCUGUGCACAGAUGACACACGCAUUUGCGAAGUGUUUCAUGUUUUU
Molecule: small nuclear RNA, 106 nt
Organism: Saimiri boliviensis boliviensis (Bolivian squirrel monkey)
Lineage: Eukaryota; Metazoa; Chordata; Mammalia; Primates; Cebidae
Source: Ensembl